GAUGAACGCUGGCGGCGUGCCUAAUACAUGCAAGUCGAGCGAACGGACGAGAAGCUUGCUUCUCUGAUGUUAGCGGCGGACGGGUGAGUAACACGUGGAUAACCUACCUAUAAGACUGGGAUAACUUCGGGAAACCGUAGCUAAUACCGGAUAAUAUUUUGAACCGCAUGGUUCAAAAGUGAAAGACGGUCUUGCUGUCACUUAUAGAUGGAUCCGCGCUGCAUUAGCUAGUUGGUAAGGUAACGCCUUACCAAGGCAACGAUGCAUAGCCGACCUGAGAGGGUGAUCGGCCACACUGGAACUGAGACACGGUCCAGACUCCUACGGGAGGCAGCAGUAGGGAAUCUUCCGCAAUGGGCGAAAGCCUGACGGAGCAACGCCGCGUGAGUGAUGAAGGUCUUCGGAUCGUAAAACUCUGUUAUUAGGGAAGAACAUAUGUGUAAGUAACUGUGCACAUCUUGACGGUACCUAAUCAGAAAGCCACGGCUAACUACGUG
RNAcentral lists this ribosomal RNA (497 nucleotides) under uncultured bacterium. RNAcentral describes it as "partial 16S ribosomal RNA". It matches the Rfam family "Bacterial small subunit ribosomal RNA", at positions 28 to 507 of the family's 1533-position model. The record is from RNAcentral.